AACUCUCUAAAAACUCUUAAAACAUACUUUAACCAUAAGGGGAGGUGAGGAUCCAUGCUUACCUCUUGAAGAACUAGAGGAUUGAUGGUCCAAGCUUGGAGAUGGGUGUAAAACUCAAUCAAAGUCUCCAAGUGCUCACUUCGCUUCCUUUUGCUUAAAACUCUAAAACAAAGCUCAAAACAUGUUAAAACAUGCAAGAUUUGAGGAAAACAUGAAAAAUCCUGUAAUCCCAAAGCGACAAACUCCUCUGUGCGCUUUACCGCACCUACUGCAUACUGGAACCUCUGAACCUGAACUCAUGCCACUGCCCAAUCCCAGACCUGCUUUAAUCUUAUUCCAGAACUUAUUCUUCCUCGACUUCUGAGUGGAACCACUCCACUUCUUCCCACUGGAAGCUGCUGCACCCUGUGAAGAGGGAUCUGAUUUCCCCUUGCCUGGGGUCUUAGGACCUGAGGACUGUGCCGUCUGCUGUUUCACUGUACCCUGUAUAAUGGCACUAGCCUCCAUCCUUCGUGCUAAAUCCACCACGGUGUGGAAACUCUCCCUCUCGGCUGCAUGGAUCAAGGAGGAAUACCUGGAAUGAAGUUUCAUAACAUACCUCCUGGCCUUUUUCUGUUCAGUAUCAUAGGCUUGUCCUGCAUACCGCAGCAACUCUAGAAACCUGUUAGUAAACUCAUCUAUACUCAUAUCCUCUGUCUGCUUAAGCUGCUCAAACUCUCUCUCGAGCUAUCUGGAAACGCCCAACCGGCAAACUCGUUUGCAAACUCCUCCCAUGACAUGUUAUCCACUCUAGGGUCCACAUAAUCACUAAACCAUUCCUUUGCCUUCUUGCAUUUUAAAGUGAACCCUGCCAUCUGAAUGGCUCUGGUAUCAUCUGCCCCUAGCUCAUCUGCUAUCAUCUUUACUGCUUUAAUGUACUCAAACGGAUCAUCUCCAGUUUGGUACUUAGGAGCAUCUAGCUUUAGGUAGUCAGUCAUCUUUACCCUGCUCCUCUCAGAUGGGCCAGGUUGAGGUGUUAGGAUAACUGGGGCUUCUGGUUCUACCACUGGUGGUGGUGGUGGAGGUGGUGCAGAACUCUCUGGUAUAGGGUGUGCUGGACUGGGGUAAAAAGGUGAGGGUGGAUACAUGGGAUAUGGUGGAUAUGGUGGGUAAUAAGGUGGAUAAGGCAUAUAUGUGGGAUAUGGGUGAAAACUAGGAUACUCCGAUGUGCCUCCCAUCGAAUAUCCUGGGCCCUGUGGGUAGGGCUGAUAGUGGGGUGGAUAACCAUACCCCGAGGCCUGACCGCCUCCCUGUGAUGAUCCCACAUCCUCCUCUGUAGUGCCAACACCUAACCCUCCAUCCCUUCUUGAAUCCACAUCCAUCUCUUCCCUUGUAUCACUAGAUCUUCUUCUCUGUUCUGUUUCCCUCCUGCCUUCAUCAAAAGACCUUCGAGGGUCCCUUGAUGAUCUUUCUCUGCCUGCCCUUUGGGACAUAGCUCUUGGUAAAGCAGGGGAUGCCCUUCCAUGCCCUCAUUCUCGGGCAGAGCUCCAGUCAAUCUAGCGGAUCGACGGGUUCCUCUCAUCUUAGCUUCUGAAAACAUAACAUAAACUUAAACUUUAGCAUCACAUGAUCCACGUAAAAACACGAACCCGCAACUCAUAGCAUAACAUAUCAUAAAAAUGCACAUGCAUAAGAUCAUGGCAUUACACAUCAUCAAGACAGGACUCAACAUCCUAUCCUAGUGGACAUGAUCUUUCCUAUUGUGCUUGCCCUCUAAAACAACCUCUUUCCGAUGUGAGAUAUCUCUAAUCCCUGAGCAUCUUAGCUCAGCACACCGUACUCUAGAGGCCCUAGGCUCUGAUACCAAUCUGUAACAGCCCGCUUAUCGGACCGCCACUGGCACUAGGAUCCAGAUCGACUUAAGACCGCCGGGACCCGUAGUAAGCCUAUUGUAAACUCUGUGUAUCUGAUAAAGCCCAUACAUGAUCAUACUUAAGCUUAAAACUCUUACUCUCUUCUUAUUUUCUUUUUUUUUUCUUUUUGCUUUUCUAAUCUUGUCUACACUAAGCUUGGACUAUGCAUGCCCUGUCUGUAUGCACUCAGAGAGUGAUACCUGCUGUGGUACCAUACAGUAACUACAGAGAUAGCAACCCCUCACUAGAGUCCUCAUCAAUGCUCUAGAUGGGUUAUACUACCAUGCUCCAAGCCUAGCUCUCAUCAUAAUGACAUCCUCUCAUCCAUAAACUCAAACAUAAAACAUAGACAUAAAAUGAUCAUGUGCAAAGGGAUAAACAUACACUAGGGCCAAGCACAGUUCUAUAACUCAGUACAUAACUUGCUAUUACAUCAUUUCUAUAUAUAUUACAUAAACUCUGUACUGUACAUCAUGUCCACUUUCUAUGCUAUUACAUAUGCUUUUACCCUUGCUUUCUCUUUCUCUUUCUCUUCUCUGAGGCCCUGAAAACAUGGGGUUAGGGAGAGGGAUGAGCUACUAGAGCCCAGUGAGCGGAAACCAUAAACACAUUUAAAACAUGCUAUCAUGACAUGCGUCACAGCACAAACAUUUCACAACUCGGAUUGGACAUGACCCCAAAACUCCCUCUGUCGGUGCCCAGCCCCCAAAGGAGCUCACACAGGUCUUUCACUAAUCUACUCAUGGUGCCCGACCCUAGAAGGGCUCUCACAGGACUUAUCCAAGUAAAAUGCCCGGCCCCAAAGGAGCUCUCACAGGACUCACAAUAAUGACAGAAUUAUGGGCUAUUGGAGUCGCCUCGGUCCAAUCCACAUAGACAAAUAAUAAUGCAAUGCAUCAUCUUCGUGUAUACUCGUGCAAUGCAAAGCCUCCUACAUAUCAUGGCAUUAAUGAUGCGUGAAUCAUGCUAAAACAUUCUUUAACUUAAAAACAAAGUUCUGUUCCACUCACCUCUGUCAACUGCUAAGCAGUCUCUGUAACUCUAACUCUGUGGGCCUUCUGGGUUCCUCGAGUCCGCACCUACACAGGUGGACUCAAAUGAGGACCAAACUCACUUAUACACAACGCUGAAUAUCUCCCCAAAACUCCUCUAAAACAUCAUAAGCAUGCAUGGAAAAAUGGGCAAACGAAGGCUGGACAGGGCACCUUCGGCGGCACUUUCGGCGGCCGAAGGUCUCGUCCAGAGACGAAACUCACACACUUUCGGCGGCCGAACUUCCUCUUUCGGCGGCCGAAAGUCCUUUUCUAAACCGAAAGCCUAGCUUUCGGGGGCAGGCUUUGGCAGUCGAAACUGCCUCCACAAGGGGUUCGGCGGCCGAACCUUGCUUCGGCAGCCGAACCUGGAUUCUCCAGAAAGGCAGAAUCCGAGCACAACUCAUGCUCUCAGCCUCCAAAAACCUAUAAAACACCCAUAACAUGCAUACCAACACUUUUUAACUAGCACAUAACAUAUCUCAUGCAUAUAGGGGCCUAUAAACUAGCUCAAAGCCCAUAAGAAACUUCAAAACUCAUCAAAGCUCAUAUGAUCAACAUAUGCUCAAACUCAUGGUUACACCCCAAAACAUGCUAUAAAACUCUCUAAAAACUCUUAAAACAUACUUUAACCAUAAGGGGAGGUGAGGAUCCAUGCUUACCUCUUGAAGAACUAGAGGAUUGAUGGUCCAAGCUUGGAGAUGGGUGUAAAACUCAAUCAAAGUCUCCAAGUGCUCACUUUGCUUCCUUUUGCUCAAAACUCUAAAACAAAGCUCAAAACAUGUUAAAACAUGCAAGAUUUGAGGAAAAC
Molecule: long non-coding RNA, 3734 nt
Filed under: Manihot esculenta (cassava)
Lineage: Eukaryota; Viridiplantae; Streptophyta; Magnoliopsida; Malpighiales; Euphorbiaceae
Description: long non-coding RNA (MESC_LNC008669)
Source: RNAcentral